This 689-nucleotide ribosomal RNA is filed under the name uncultured bacterium. Its description in RNAcentral is "bacterial SSU rRNA". It matches the Rfam family "Bacterial small subunit ribosomal RNA", at positions 62 to 747 of the family's 1533-position model. The record is from RNAcentral.
UCGAGCGGCAAGUUGAGUAGUAAUACUUGACCUAGAGCGGCGCACGGGUGCGUAACGCGUAUGCAACCUACCUUUUACUGGGGGAUAGCCCGGAGAAGUCUGGAUUAAUACCCCAUGGUACCAGAGAGUCGAAUGGCUUUCUGGUUAAAGAUUUAUCGGUAAGAGAUGGGCAUGCGUCUGAUUAGCUAGUUGGCGGGGUAACGGCCCACCAAGGCGACGAUCAGUAGGGGUUCUGAGAGGAAGGUCCCCCACACUGGCACUGAGAUACGGGCCAGACUCCUACGGGAGGCAGCAGUAGGGAAUAUUGGGCAAUGGUCGCAAGACUGACCCAGCCAUGCCGCGUGCAGGAAGACGGCCCUCUGGGUUGUAAACUGCUUUUAUCUGGGAAGAAAAAGUCCAUGCGUGGAAAAUUGCCGGUACCAGAUGAAUAAGCACCGGCUAACUCCGUGCCAGCAGCCGCGGUAAUACGGAGGGUGCAAGCGUUGUCCGGAUUUAUUGGGUUUAAAGGGUGCGUAGGCGGCUGAAUAAGUCAGCGGUGAAAGACUUCGGCUUAACCGGAGCAGUGCCGUUGAUACUGUUUAGCUUGAGUGUUGGAGGGGUACAUGGAAUUGAUGGUGCAGCGGUGAAAUGCAUAGAUACCAUCAGGAACACCGAUAGCGAAGGCAUUGUACUGGCCAACAACUGACGCU